AGCAGUAUUGAACUGAAGAGUUUGAUCAUGGCUCAGAUUGAACGCUGGCGGCAGGCCUAACACAUGCAAGUCGAGCGGAUGAAGGGAGCUUGCUCCUGGAUUCAGCGGCGGACGGGUGAGUAAUGCCUAGAAAUCUGCCUGGUAGUGGGGGAUAACGUCCGGAAACGGGCGCUAAUACCGCAUACGUCCUGAGGGAGAAA
Molecule: ribosomal RNA, 200 nt
Filed under: Pseudomonas aeruginosa
Lineage: Bacteria; Pseudomonadati; Pseudomonadota; Gammaproteobacteria; Pseudomonadales; Pseudomonadaceae
Description: partial 16S ribosomal RNA
Rfam family: Bacterial small subunit ribosomal RNA
Source: RNAcentral